Octodon degus (degu) is the source of this 362-nucleotide long non-coding RNA. RefSeq lists it as uncharacterized. The record is from RefSeq and is a predicted model, not a curated record. The transcript has 3 exons. Lineage: Eukaryota; Metazoa; Chordata; Mammalia; Rodentia; Octodontidae.
GGGGCUCGGUACCCUCCGACGCGGGAGCGGAAGACGGCCUCGGGCCGCCCGCUCAGCCUAGGGAGCGGCUUCCGCCGCGGGGCUCUUUUGCGUCAAUCUAAUCAGCCCCGAAGGGCUGGCACCGAAAAGCCGCCCCUCCCCUUCGCCCUAGAGCAACAGCGCGCCAGCGACCUCACCCUUUCCACCCAGGCAAGGGAUUCCCGUUGGCUUCCGACGUCUGAGGGAGCCAGUUCCACUGGACUGAGGAAGAAAAACCUAUUGAACCCUUCCAGAACUAAGGGUCUCACUAUGCAGCUCAGUCUGGCCUUCAGCUUACUUUGGAGCCCAGAACUGGGGAUUGAACUCAGGCCCUUGUGCUUGCC